This 425-nucleotide ribosomal RNA is filed under the name Klebsiella pneumoniae. RNAcentral describes it as "bacterial SSU rRNA". It matches the Rfam family "Bacterial small subunit ribosomal RNA", at positions 553 to 977 of the family's 1533-position model. Lineage: Bacteria; Pseudomonadati; Pseudomonadota; Gammaproteobacteria; Enterobacterales; Enterobacteriaceae. The record is from RNAcentral. RNAcentral also lists the same sequence under 1 other name.
ACUGGGCGUAAAGCGCACGCAGGCGGUCUGUCAAGUCGGAUGUGAAAUCCCCGGGCUCAACCUGGGAACUGCAUUCGAAACUGGCAGGCUAGAGUCUUGUAGAGGGGGGUAGAAUUCCAGGUGUAGCGGUGAAAUGCGUAGAGAUCUGGAGGAAUACCGGUGGCGAAGGCGGCCCCCUGGACAAAGACUGACGCUCAGGUGCGAAAGCGUGGGGAGCAAACAGGAUUAGAUACCCUGGUAGUCCACGCCGUAAACGAUGUCGAUUUGGAGGUUGUGCCCUUGAGGCGUGGCUUCCGGAGCUAACGCGUUAAAUCGACCGCCUGGGGAGUACGGCCGCAAGGUUAAAACUCAAAUGAAUUGACGGGGGCCCGCACAAGCGGUGGAGCAUGUGGUUUAAUUCGAUGCAACGCGAAGAACCUUACCUG